GAUGAACGCUGGCGGCGUGCCUAAUACAUGCAAGUCGAGCGAACAGACGAGGAGCUUGCUCCUCUGACGUUAGCGGCGGACGGGUGAGUAACACGUGGAUAACCUACCUAUAAGACUGGGAUAACUUCGGGAAACCGGAGAUAAUACCGGAUAAUAUAUUGAACCGCAUGGUUCAAUAGUGAAAGACGGUUUUGCUGUCACUUAUAGAUGGAUCCGCGCCGCAUUAGCUAGUUGGUAAGGUAACGGCUUACCAAGGCAACGAUGCGUAGCCGACCUGAGAGGGUGAUCGGCCACACUGGAACUGAGACACGGUCCAGGCUCCUGCGAGAGGCAGCAGUAGGGAAUCUUCCGCAAUGGGCGAAAGCCUGACGGAGCAACGCCGCGUGAGUGAUGAAGAUCUUCGGAUCGUAAAACUCUGUUAUUGGGGAAGAACAAAUGUGUAAGUAACUAUGCACGUCGUGACGGUACCUAAUCAGAAAGCCACGGCUAACUACGUG
Molecule: ribosomal RNA, 497 nt
Filed under: uncultured bacterium
Lineage: Bacteria
Description: partial 16S ribosomal RNA
Rfam family: Bacterial small subunit ribosomal RNA
Source: RNAcentral